This 473-nucleotide long non-coding RNA is filed under the name Gallus gallus (chicken). RNAcentral describes it as "lncRNA (ENSGALG00010028644.1)". Lineage: Eukaryota; Metazoa; Chordata; Aves; Galliformes; Phasianidae. The record is from RNAcentral.
CCUUGCUUUUCCAGCAGCCACAGCGAGCGCAGACAUCCCGGAGGACGUGGCGGACAUCCAGCAUCUCCUGGCAUGGCUCAACGACGGUGAGUUUGGGGGCAGCAGAGCUGGCGGGGGGUUGCUGCCACCCACCCAGCCACCCACGCACCCCCACUGGGUGUGGGAAAGAAAGCUGGCAUUGCCCCACUGGGCAUUUUCUGCCUUUUCCAGAAGUGACAUCCAAGACAGGCAUCCUGGACGACGACGCAGACAUCGAUGACCUGCUCACGUGGAUCAACAACGAAGAGACACCCAGCACCCACAGACUUGACAACGAUGAUGUGGAAAUGGACCGUUUGCUCACCUGGAUUGACGGUGAGACUGUGCUCCGCAGAGGUGACCCCCAGAGGUGGCUGCCUGCACCGAGUGGCUGUGGGAAGGCUGCCAUCAUCGUUCGGGGGGAUGUUCUUGCUUUUUCAGAAGCGGCUCUGGAG